RNAcentral lists this ribosomal RNA (1519 nucleotides) under Lysinibacillus sp. Its description in RNAcentral is "bacterial SSU rRNA". It matches the Rfam family "Bacterial small subunit ribosomal RNA". Lineage: Bacteria; Bacillati; Bacillota; Bacilli; Caryophanales; Bacillaceae. The record is from RNAcentral.
UAUGCAGUCGAGCGAAUGACAGAGAAGCUUGCUUCUCUUGAUUUAGCGGCGGACGGGUGAGUAACACGUGGGCAACCUACCUUAUAGAUGGGGAUAACUCCGGGAAACCGGGGCUAAUACCGAAUAAUUCCAAGCACCUCCUGGUGCUUGGCUGAAAGACGGUUUCGGCUGUCACUAUAAGAUGGGCCCGCGGCGCAUUAGCUAGUUGGUAAGGUAACGGCUUACCAAGGCAACGAUGCGUAGCCGACCUGAGAGGGUGAUCGGCCACACUGGGACUGAGACACGGCCCAGACGUCCAUAAGGUUGCACGACUGUCAGACAUGUAUGGGAAUCCUUCCACAAUUAGUUGACGAAAGUCUAGGAAUGGACGCAACGCUCGCGUGGACGUGAAGAUAGUGUCUCUACGGAUCCUAAAACUCCAGUGGGAAGGGCAAGACAUAAGUACCGCUAGUAAGCUGGCCGUACCUGGACGGUUACAUAAUAAGAACAGCCACAGUCUAACUACGUGUCCAGCAGCCGCGGUAAGUACGUAGCUGGCAAGUCGCUAGUCAAGAAUUAGUUGGGACAGUAAGAGCUGCGCGGCAGGUCCGUCCUUAUUAACGUAUGAUGAUGAAACGCCCCACUGGCUCCAAUCCGUCGAAACGUUCGAUAGGCAAACUGGGCGGACUUUGACUGCAGAAAGAGGUGUUAGGAGGAAAUCCCAAGUGUAGCCGAUGAAAUGCGUAGAGAUGUUGGGAGCAACACCAGUGGCGAAAGCGACUAAGCUGCUCUGUAACUGACGCUGAGGCGCGAAAGCGUGAGGAGCAAACACGAUUAGAUACCCGUGGUAGUCCACGCCGUAAACGAUGAGUGCUAAGUGUUAUGGGGAUUUCCCGCCCUUUAGUGCCGCAGUAAACGCAUUAAGCACUUCAGCCUGGGGAGGUACGGCCGGCAAGGUUGAAACUCAAAGGAAUUGACAGGGGCCCGCAGCAAGCGGUGGAGCAUGUGAGUUUAAUUCCGAAGCCAACGCGAAGAACAUUACCAGGUCGUGACGAUCCCGUUGACUACUGUAGAGAGUAUAGUUUUCCCUUCGGCGACAACGGUGACAGAUGGUGCAUGCAUUGUCUGCCAGCUCCGUGUCAUGAGAUGUUAGGUUAAGUCACGCAUACGAACGCAACCCGUAUGCUUAGUUGCCAUCGCAUAUAGUUGGGCACUCUAAGCAGACUGCCGACUGACAGACACCGGAGGAAGGUGGGGAUGACGUCAAAUCAUCAUGCCCCUUAUGACCUGGGCUACACACGUGCUACAAUGGACGAUACAAACGGUUGCCAACCCGCGAGGGGGAGCUAAUCCGAUAAAAUCGUUCUCAGUUCGGAUUGUAGGCUGCAACUCGCCUACAUGAAGCCGGAAUCGCUAGUAAUCGUGGAUCAGCAUGCCACGGUGAAUACGUUCCCGGGCCUUGUACACACCGCCCGUCACACCACGAGAGUUUGUAACACCCUAAGUCGGUGAGGUAACCUUCGGGAGCCAGCCGCUAAGU